UGGUCUUCCGAUCUAGAGGAAAAAUUUUGGUUGGGGUGACCUCGGAGAAAAAAAUAAUCCUCCGAAAGACCUAGACCUGGACUUUCAAGUCAAAGUUAAACUACGUCACCUUUGAUCCAGAAUUUCUGAUCAAUGGACCAAGUUACCCUAGGGAUAACAGCGCAAUCUCAUGAAAUAGUCCAUAUUGAUAAUGAGGUUUACGCCCUCGAUGUUGGAUCAGGACAUCCAAAUGGUGCAGCAGCUAUUAGAGGUUCGUUUGUUCAACGAUUAAGGUCCUACGUGAUCUGAGUUCAGACCGGAGAAAUCCAUGUCGGUUUCUAUCUAUUUACUAUUUUUCGUAGUACGAAAGGACCAGAGAAAUAAGGCCAACUUUUUCCAAAGCGCCUUAAUGCUUA
Molecule: long non-coding RNA, 395 nt
Organism: Perognathus longimembris pacificus (Pacific pocket mouse)
Lineage: Eukaryota; Metazoa; Chordata; Mammalia; Rodentia; Heteromyidae
Exons: 3
Source: RefSeq, a predicted model, not a curated record